Paramormyrops kingsleyae is the source of this 1856-nucleotide non-coding RNA. Lineage: Eukaryota; Metazoa; Chordata; Actinopteri; Osteoglossiformes; Mormyridae. The record is from RefSeq and is a predicted model, not a curated record.
AAAUGGGUCGAGGCUUUUCCAUUAAAAAGUAAAUGUGCAGCUUAGGUAGCUCAACAGUUGUGCUUAAUGAUAUACUGUAUAGACAUAGCGGCCCAAAAAGAAUUUUGUCAGAUCAAGGAAGAGAAUUUGUGAACAAAGUAAGUGUUAAGUUUACUUUUCCAUAAGUAAAGGUCAACCAUUUGCCACAGUGUGCCAAGUGGCUGCCAAGCCAAAGAUUUUGCGUGAUUGUGUUUAAGAAACUAUUUUCUUUUAUUCUUUGAAGCUCAACUCUAGUCUUUGCAGCUUACUGAAAAUUAAUAGGAGUGUCACAGCAGCGUAUCACCCACAGGUAAAUGGCCUUGAUGAAAAGACAAAUGACAACAUAAAAAGAAAAUGAGUCAGCAGUCAACAGAAUGACUGGGACGUGUAUCUGGAUGCUACACUGUUUUCUUUGAGGUCUAAGGUCCACACUACAACCAAAUACACGCCAUUUCUUUUAAUGUAUGGGAGAGAAGCAACUUAUCCUUCUGAAGUUCCUGUUGAAGUGCCGGUUCUCAUCCACAUCACAUCUUAUGUCAUCUAGGGCAAUACACCUAGGAAAGAAUCUUCUGGCAUGCCUGAUCCAUCCCUGGCAAUCUUCUGCUGAUAUGUCCAGGCAUCCAGCAUUCAUUGCAUCCAAGAGGGACAUUUGAUCAUGUGGAUGAUGGUCGUAAACCUUCCACCGCCAUGAGGAAAAGAAUUCCUCUAUGGGGUUGAGGAAUGGAGAGUAAGGUGGGAGGAAAAGUGACUCCAUUCUGGGAUGGGCCGCAAACCAGUCGGUGACUGCACGGGAGUGGUGAAAUGCCACAUUGUCCCAUACAAUUAUAAAUGUUGGCUGAUUCCUUCUCUCCGCAUCCCUUUCCUCACCUAGCACAACCCAUCCAUAGAGAUCAUACAGGAACGCAAGGAGCCGUUCAGUGUUGUAUGGCCCAAUUAGUGGUCUGUGUAACAGCAGUCCAUCAGUGGAUAUUGCUGCGCACAUUGUGAUGUUGGCACCCCUCUGGCCCGGGACAUUCACUGUGGCUCUCUUCCCAAUCACAUUCCUCCCUCGUCGCCGUGUUUUGGCCAACUUGAAACCUGCCUCAUACACAAAGAUGAAAAUGUGGUGUGUUUGCCUGCCUUCAAUCUCCAUGACUCUCUAAAAUAAAUCCACAAGGCAACAGAAGCUGUUACAGUAGUAAAUUUGUAAAAAUUGUCUUUGUGUGUGUUUGGUUUUGUUCAAAAACAGUUCUGUAUUUUAUUGUUCCUCUCAAAAGGCACAGUGUACAACUGUUUCAUCCUGACCUGAUGAUAUUUCAGGACUCUAGAAAUUGUUGUUAUGCUUACACUGUGAAUAUUUGCAAAAGUAACGUUGUCUGCCAAGACUCUGUGUCUAAUCUCAGUGAGUUUUAUCCCAUUGUUUCUGAUGACCAUAUCAACAAUGGCAGUUUCCUGCACAUCCUUCCUCUCCCUCCUGUGUGAGGUAACCGUUGAGUCCUAAGCAGAAAUGCAAAAACAAUUACACAAAAGUUUAUUUACUUCUGAAAUGUGCAACUGAGUCAAAUGCCCUUGCAGAAUACAAGUUACCUGUUGGUUUGCUGGAAAACUCUAACAAUAGAUGCCACUGUAGAGCAUUGCAGAAUUGGCUGCACUCUCUGACCAGCCUCUCUCAUUGAGAGACCAUGAUUUACUACAUGAUCAAUUACAGUAGCUCUGAUCUCAUCUGAGACUACAGCUCUUGAUCUUCCUCUUAUUCUUCUUCCACCACGCAUACGUAUUCCUCGCCCUCUCCCAGCCACUCUUCUUCCUCUUUCAGCCACUUCUCUAUUUCUGGCUGGGUCCAUGUUUACAUCACAAUA